Molecule: ribosomal RNA, 500 nt
Filed under: uncultured bacterium
Lineage: Bacteria
Description: partial 16S ribosomal RNA
Rfam family: Bacterial small subunit ribosomal RNA
Source: RNAcentral
ACGAACGCUGGCGGCGUGCUUAACACAUGCAAGUCGAACGGUGAAGCACCUUCCUUUUGGUGGGUGUGGAUGAGUGGCGAACGGGUGAGUAACACGUGAGUAACCUGCCCCCUUCUUCUGGAUAACCGCAUGAAAGUGUGGCUAAUACGGGAUAUUCUGUGCCUGCUGCAUGGUGGGUGUGGGAAAGAUGCGCUUUUGGGUGUUUUUGGUGGGGGAUGGGCUCGCGGCCUAUCAGCUUGUUGGUGGGGUGAUGGCCUACCAAGGCGGUGACGGGUAGCCGGCCUGGGAGGGUGGACGGUCACACUGGGACUGAGACACGGCCCAGACUGCUACGGGAGGCAGCAGUGGGGAAUAUUGCACAAUGGGCGCAAGCCUGAUGCAGCGACGCCGCGUGAGGGAUGGAGGCCUUCGGGUUGUAAACCUCUUUCGCCAGUGAAGCAGGCCUGUCCCUUGUGGGUGGGUUGACGGUAGCUGGAUAAGAAGCGCCGGCUAACUACGUG